AUCUCAAGUCAUGUGAGAGUACCCGCUGAACUUAAGCAUAUCAAUAAGCGGAGGAAAAGAAACUAACAAGGAUUCCCCUAGUAACGGCGAGUGAAGCGGGAAGAGCACAAAUUUAAAAUCUACCUGGUUUUCAGGUCGAGUUGUAAUUUGAAGAUACGUUUUUGACGUUCAGGGUUGGACUAAAUCCUUUGGGAUAAGGUAUCAUGGAGGGUGAGAAUCCCGUAUAUACCAACCAUAGGGAUGUUAUUUAAUACGUUUCUAAGAGUCGAGUUGUUUGGGAAUGCAGCUCUAAAUGGGUGGUAAAUUUCACCUAAUGCUAAAUAUAAGCGAGAGACCGAUAGCGAACAAGUACAGUGAUGGAAAGAUGAAAAGAACUUUGAAAAGAGAGUUAAAUAGUACGUGAAAUUGUUGAAAGGGAAACGAUUGAAGUCAGUCAUGCCGGUGGGAAUCAACUUAGGGGAAACUCUAAGUGCACUUCUUCGCUUGGCAGGUCAACGUCGAUUUUGGAUGUCAUAAAAUGAUUGGGGGAAGGUAGCUCCUUAGGGAGUGUUAUAGCCCUUGGUAGAUGUGAUGUCUGGGAUCGAGGAUUGCAAUGGAUACCCUUUGGGGCUAGCUGCCUGAUCUCUAAUUGGUAUUGGGUUACGGAUAGCAUGCUGACCGUGAUCUAAUUAUUGGUUAAAAGGUUAGAGCGUGCAUAAAUUCAUUAAGGACGUUGACGUAAUGGCUUUAAACGACCCGUCUUGAAACACGGACCAAGGAGUCUAACAUGUAUGCGAGUG
This 779-nucleotide ribosomal RNA is filed under the name Gigaspora rosea. Its description in RNAcentral is "eukaryotic LSU rRNA". It matches the Rfam family "Eukaryotic large subunit ribosomal RNA", at positions 1 to 692 of the family's 3401-position model. Lineage: Eukaryota; Fungi; Glomeromycota; Glomeromycetes; Diversisporales; Gigasporaceae. The record is from RNAcentral.